CACUCCCUCGUGCAUCACUGCAGCCAGGGAUCCCGCAAACCCUGGGCAUGCGGGGGCCACGGCCCCGGGGUCAGCACCAAGGGCACCAGCAACAGGCACCCAUCCAACACUCCAUCUCCAGCAGCUCAGAGAGCACAGCGCCCCCGAGGUACCACUGCCAGACCCACUUAUAGAGAGAAACUGAGCCUCCAAAGGGACCAGGGACCCGUCCAAGGUCACACAGACUUAGAAAGCUAGAAGCCAGGUCUGCCGGUCUCUCACACAAGCAGACAUCCCAGCCUCAGGCGAUGACAACCAGGUGACCUAAGCACAGAGCGGGCUGCGUGUGUCAUGGUGGGGGCGGGGUACUGGCCGGGCAGGCUGGGGAACAGAUGCCAGAAGGGCAGAGUCUCGCAGGGUGAGGGCACUGCUGUCUGGAGAGCAGAGGAAAGGCGCUCCUGCUGGAGGACCAGCUCAUGCUAAGGCCUGGAGGUGCGGCGGCCUGAGAAACACGGCUUGUACGUGACAGAGGGGCCUCUGGAAGCCACCGCCCUCACCUGUGGAGGCCCCUGGACUCCCCCUCCUCCCGGCUUGACCCCCGCCCCGGCAGCUGUGCCUCCAUCCAUCUCUCUGUCUGCCCUCCUCCGGCUGCCCCGAGGCCCAGCCCCUGAGCCGGCUCCUCCUCAGCAUCCUGCUCUUUCCACAUUGUCCGGUCUUGGCUCAGACACAACAGAGCCCACUGUGCACCUGAAGCCAGAAGCAUCUUCUCCAGCGGAGGCCGAGCACGUCGCUCCCUGCUCCUGCUCCCCUGCUCCUUAGAAACUGACCCAGGGCCCUUGCUGUGGAACUGAGCUUAGCCUAACGAGGCAGCUCAGAGGCAGGCGCCGGCCAGCCAGCCAGCGCCCAAGCUCACAGAAGAGACGGAGAAAGCCUCAUCAGCAGAGCGUUCCGUCAUCGCAGCUGACUGCUCUCCAGGCCUGAGCUGGGGGAUAUCGAAGUUCGGAGACG
RNAcentral lists this long non-coding RNA (987 nucleotides) under Equus caballus (horse). RNAcentral's name for it is "lncRNA (ENSECAG00000052398.1)". The record is from RNAcentral. Lineage: Eukaryota; Metazoa; Chordata; Mammalia; Perissodactyla; Equidae.